UGACAGAUUCGAUGACGUUAUUCAACGCAACUAAGCAUCUAUAGUAAAGUUUUGACAAAUAAAAAGUUAUCAUUAGAAAUAUUUGAAUUAAUUGCGUUAAAAUGAGUGUUCCGAUUGAACCAAAAAGGAAGCGGCGGCAGAAAGAGGUAGUGUCAAAAAGACAAACCAGAAAUAGAAUUAAUUCAGAAAUGCAAAGUUACUCAACCCAAGCAAAAGUUACGAUAUCUGAAGCAAAUCCUGUCACUUCUGCUGCUACAGUGCUGAACUAUCUGGAUCACAUAGAUCAAAUUGUUGAUCCUGUCGUGUGUUUGAAUGCCUCCAAAGAAAACACUUGCCAUAUCUCUGUUAUGUCAGCAGAUGUUAUGACAUGUGAAGCAAAUCCUUCUUGGUAAAUCCUUUAAUGAAUAUUAAUGUAAAUUGAAAUUGUAUUGAAAUGUUGGUCUGCUUUGUAUAAAUACAAAUCGUGAUUUAAAA
This is a long non-coding RNA of Daphnia magna, 474 nucleotides long. RefSeq lists it as uncharacterized. NCBI's taxonomy places the organism in Eukaryota, Metazoa, Arthropoda, Branchiopoda, Diplostraca, Daphniidae. The transcript is spliced from 2 exons. The record is from RefSeq and is a predicted model, not a curated record.